GCAGGGAAUCUUGCGCAAUGGGCGAAAGCCUGACGCAGCGACACCGCGUGGAGGAUGAAGGCCCUAGGGUUGUAAACUCCUUUUCUAGGGGAAGAGUAAGGACGGUACCUUAGGAAUAAGGAUCGGCUAACUACGUGCCAGCAGCCGCGGUAAUACGUAGGAUCCGAGCGUUGUCCGGAUUUACUGGGCGUAAAGGGUGCGUAGGCGGCAUAGUAAGUCUUAUGUGAAAUCUCCCGGCUUAACUGGGAGGGGUCAUAGGAUACUGCUAAGCUUGAGGGCAGCAGAGGAGAGCGGAAUUCCGGGAGUAGUGGUGAAAUGCGUAGAUACCCGGAGGAACACCCGAGGCGAAGGCGGCUCUCUGGGCUGUACCUGACGCUGAGGCACGAAAGCGUGGGGAGCAAACCGG
RNAcentral lists this ribosomal RNA (406 nucleotides) under uncultured bacterium. Its description in RNAcentral is "bacterial SSU rRNA". It matches the Rfam family "Bacterial small subunit ribosomal RNA", at positions 354 to 776 of the family's 1533-position model. The record is from RNAcentral.